GGAGGGAUGCCGGAGUGGUCGAACGGGCUUGACUCGAAAUCAAGUGACGGGUUUACCCGUCCGUGGGUUCGAAUCCCACUCCCUCCGCCA
This 90-nucleotide transfer RNA is filed under the name Rhodospirillaceae bacterium. RNAcentral's name for it is "tRNA-Ser". It matches the Rfam family "tRNA". Rfam says of the family: Transfer RNA (tRNA) molecules are approximately 80 nucleotides in length. Their secondary structure includes four short double-helical elements and three loops (D, anti-codon, and T loops). Further hydrogen bonds mediate the characteristic L-shaped molecular structure. tRNAs have two regions of fundamental functional importance: the anti-codon, which is responsible for specific mRNA codon recognition, and the 3' end, to which the tRNAs corresponding amino acid is attached (by aminoacyl-tRNA synthetases). tRNAs cope with the degeneracy of the genetic code in two manners: having more than one tRNA (with a specific anti-codon) for a particular amino acid; and 'wobble' base-pairing, i.e. permitting non-standard base-pairing at the 3rd anti-codon position. RNAcentral also lists the same sequence under 1 other name. The record is from RNAcentral. Lineage: Bacteria; Pseudomonadati; Pseudomonadota; Alphaproteobacteria; Rhodospirillales; Rhodospirillaceae.